This is a long non-coding RNA of Anolis carolinensis (green anole), 2529 nucleotides long. Lineage: Eukaryota; Metazoa; Chordata; Lepidosauria; Squamata; Anolidae. The record is from Ensembl.
AUGAAAUAUCUUUUAGUAUUUAACUACAUAAUAAUAACAGAUACAUUUCCCUUCCCUCUGCACUUGCACAUAGCCCAAAUGCUUUCAUGUUCUUUUGCAGUCCUCCUCAAAAUGGUGACACAUCAAAAUAUGCUGAUUUUCUUAGAAAAUAAUUUGGGAGAUUGGUGUGGGGCUUCAGGAACCAUGAAAGUGGGGCUCAGGAGUAAUAUGUGGCCUAUGGGUCAAGCUGUGUUCACCUUCACUAGAUACAUUACUAUUUCAUAUCAUUAAAAAUGAAAACAUUUUGAUAUAUCACAAGCAGAAAGAACAGUAGAAAUACUACUAACAAUUUAGCGGCAUAGACACAAACACAUAUACCAGCCUGCCGUUUCCUCCCCUUUUUAACGUCAAAAACAAGGGCUUAAGGCGGGCAACACUAUAGAACAAUUCACCCUCGAAAAUGCAUAGGUUUCUUCUUCUUGUUAGAAGAAACAUACUUUUGUUACUGUAUGGGGAAUAAUAGAAAUUUUAAGUUUUAAUUCAAUCUAAUGGACUGUUUUUGAGGAGGAAUGUGUAACUUCCCCCUUUUUAGGCCUCCAGAUUUUAGUACUGAAGUUGUUCUUAUCAGGAGCUUCUGUAUUCUUGGAAGUGAACUGAUAAUACUCUAUUAAACUUCCUUGGGAGGUCCAGAAUUCAAAGCAAAGCAAUUUAUUUUCACCCCUUGCUAAAGGUUUUCAACACUAUUCACAUCUCAGUAUCUUUUUUCCCCUUAAAAAUAGUUGCUAUAUAAUGUUUAUUUGAAGAAGGAUAACAUUAUGCAUGAAACAGGUUUAGUCAAGUUACACAUAAAUUGGUGCCAUCUCCUCCUGCUUAAUAAAUGUAUCCAAACAUCCCAAGACUUCAGGUAUUCCUACAUUUCUCAAAGCUGUCAAACUAUUUAUUUAUAAAUGACUGUAGUAUUUUUAGCUUUUACCAUAAAUUAUGUUUCUGCUUUACUCUUCCUGGAGCAAUUUUGCCAAAGAAAAAAAUUGUUGUGAAGAAGUUGCAUUUUCUUCUGUGUCACAUGUCCAUUAUGCAAUAAUUGUAGACAUAAAAAGUGGCAGAAGUGCAGCAUGAUUUCAUUCUGAUAGUGAAGGCCUUAAAAAUACCAGAGUUUCAGCAUCUCUAUUUUUUCUGGCAUAUUUUGAAAUAAGCUGUUAUUCCCAUCCUUGAAGCAUAAUUGAAAGUUACUACCUAUUUUCCAUGUCUCCAAUUUUCUAGUUCUGCUUGUAACCAAAGUUAACAGCUGCUAUUACCAUUAUACAGUUUGUAGAUGAAGUAUGGAAUAUAUAUAUAUAUAUAUAUAUAUAUAUAUAUAUAUAUAUAUCUUCACACACACACACACACACACACACACACGGUCUGUUAACAAAGCCUCUCUCACAAAGAAGCUCAUUUUUAUAAAGGCUUUUUGCAUUUGCCCACCCCUCUUAAGGUCCUGGUUUUCUAGCUAGCUGGAAGGUUUUUUAAGCAUCAGUUCCGAGGGUUAUGAUAACUGAGCAAACAAAUUUUGUGUUAGGCUGUAGGAGCAUGUCUGCAGUAAUCAAUAAAAUAAAGCUCGAGUUGAAAAAGAAUGGGCCAAUUUCACUUCAGUUUUGUGUGCUCUGCCUAAAGCAAGCUGACUCUAGAACAGUGGUUCUCAACCUGUGGGUCCCCAGAUGCUUUGGCCUACAGCUCCCAGAAACCCCAACCAGUUUACCAAUUUUAGGAUUUCUGGGAGUUGAAGGCCAAAACAUAUGGUGACUCACAGGCUGAGAACCACUGCUCUAGGACAUCUUACUGAACAUUAUGCCAACAGCAAAAGAGAAAGGAAAAAGAUCAGCCAAGCAUAGACUUUGUUGGAAUCACAGACACCUUAAAGGGCCAGACUUAAAAGUGGCUUUAAAACAGAGUUUAUUAAAGCAAAAGAAAAGGGACGCAGAGAAACUAAAAUGCAGUUCCACUGGUCAAAACUCAAAAAACCAAACCAGACCUGGUCCAAAAGGUAAACAGAAAGAUAAUCCAGAUUAACUGGAUGCAAAGAGCAACAAGUCAAACAAAGCGCUCUGAGGCAAAACAAAAAGGCACAGUACACAAAUGGUUAACAACAGGAGUCGCAGGAAGAGAAGCGUCAUCAGCUGAAGUCCAGCGUUGAAGUGGGAGAAAUCCGAAACAGCGUUGCUCCAGUGUCCGCAGAAGCAGCGUCUUUAGCCAAAUUGGUCCAGGUCUAAACUGCAGAUCCGAAUCCAAUGCCGAACACGAAACAGGCAGCAGCAAGUCUACAAAAAUCUUUACCAAUACCCAGCACAUGAACGCACAUCAACACUUUGCCUUCUGCAAAGACCCCUCACACCUGAACCCACUUUUAUCUACAAACCAUCAUCAGAAGAUGAACUGACCACCGCCCCAUCACCAUCCCCUGCAGCUGCUUCCAGCUCUGCACGUGAAUUCCCUUGCCUUUCCCUCCCAUUUCCUCCUUCUCCUGUCAAGACUUUGGAUCCCCUCCAAGAAUCUGUUGGAAUCCCCUGGAUG